Arabidopsis thaliana (thale cress) is the source of this 1130-nucleotide long non-coding RNA. RefSeq annotates it as other RNA. Lineage: Eukaryota; Viridiplantae; Streptophyta; Magnoliopsida; Brassicales; Brassicaceae. The record is from RefSeq. The transcript has 4 exons.
AGAUUACAGUAAUGCCAGAUCUGAUGUAAAAUCCAUCGGAUGACCUAUCUGCUUCUUGUAUUCCCUGCAAAUCAUCACAUUAGUGGAAAUGAGAUAAGCAAAAGAAGAAUUGGAAAAGAAGAAGGUAGGAAGAAAUGAAGGAAGGAAUGAGGAAACUUCACAAAUGAGAACUGUUUCUAAGGUUUCUCCUUGAUGUAUAUAUUGGUUUUGCCGCGUCGUAGAAACUAAAUGCCCCAGGCUAAAAGGUGUAGACCUUCCUCCUUGGAAAGUCCUAAAAUAGUUGUGUCUACUGCCUAAGGAUGCCCCGAGGUUAAAACAAUCUUCAGGUUUUGUUCCGAGAUGCUAUUAUUGUUCAAAAAUGAUUUUCCGAAGUUUUAAACAUACCAUUGCUUUCAGGUCGUCUCCUUUAGGUUUUUCACUGAAUGAGAUAACUCUUCCUUUGUCAUCUAUCUUCAUAAGCCCAAAAUCUGAGGCACGUCUACCAUGUAAAUAGAAAGAGACUAUAAGAAAUCAUGAUCUUUGAUUCAGUAUGAUAAGUUGGGGUAAAAAUGAAAGGAUCUAUAUACUCUUUUGCAUUCACCUGUCAUCUAUUGGUAUGCAGGAAAUGCUUAUAUCCGCGCCACUCUGCCGAUGAUCCUGCAGAUUGAAGUUCAUGGCAUGAGUCUCGGAGAGUAACUACCUCUUGAUGAAGGACAUGAGCUCAAGUAAUUUUGUCUCACCUGUAUAAAAUCCAUGUAAUCCAUCCUGUAGAGGUGAUCUCCAGAAAGGAUCAAUACAUCCUCUAUGUCCUUGCUUCUUGCAUCCUAUGAAAAGAAUGUUGGACCGCUUGUCUAUUGAUGUGAUGAUAAGCUAGUUUAAGUCUGAUUUCUACCUCGAAAAGCCAAUGGAAUUGCCGAACCGCAUCUGCUGUACCUUGGAACCACCUUUUACCAGAUUCUCCUGGCGUUUGAGUGGCCGCAAGAACCUGAAUUUUUUCAAACAAUUGCCUCAGAUGCAUCAAACCAGUUUGGCUCGUAAUGGAUGAUUAAGACAGAAUAUCAAACCUCAACAUAGCCAUCUCCAAAGCCAAGUCCAUUGGAGUUGUAAGCACGGGCUAAAUGCCUGUUCAAUGAUGCUGAGUUAUAUUGUGU